This 3918-nucleotide ribosomal RNA is filed under the name Triticum aestivum (bread wheat). RNAcentral's name for it is "partial small subunit ribosomal RNA". Lineage: Eukaryota; Viridiplantae; Streptophyta; Magnoliopsida; Poales; Poaceae. The record is from RNAcentral.
AUGGAGGUGGCCCUCGGCUCGGCCAAGUCGCUCCUCGGCAAGGUGUUGACGACGCUGUCCGACGGCCUGGUGGCGGCGUACGUGGACAGCCUCCAGCUGGGCCACAACUCGGAGCAGAUCAGGGACAAGCUACUGCACACGCAAGGCCUGCUGCACAACGCCCAGGGGAGCCACGCCGGCGGCGACAACCCCAACCCUGGCCUGCAGGGGUUGCUGGAGAAGCUGAGCAGGGACGCCGACCAGGCAGAGGACUUGCUGGAUGAGGUCCACUACUUUCAGAUCCACGACAAGCUCCACGGCACCCUCUACGCCACCACCCAAGAGGCCGGCCAUCAAGCUCUCCAUGCUGGUACUGCUCUUCGCCACACCCUAGGCAGCUUGGUCCACUUCUUUUCUUGCUCCCGUACACCCAAGACCAAGAGGGAUGGAGGUAGUGAUGCCGCUGCUGCUGUUACCAGCCGCAUCACCAAAAGGUCCAAAGCCAACUCUGCUACUGCUCAUGCUGAUGACAUGCUGCAUUUCGACCGAUUGUCCAUGUCCAGCAAAAUCAAGUCCCUGUUACUGGGCAUGGAGUCCCACUGUGACUCCGUCUCCAGUUUGCUCAUCGGCGGUAUCCCAAGAAACAGCACGGCAGUCGUCCUACAUCGGCCUCAGACUGCUUCCAUGAUUAUACAAGACACAUUGUAUGGCAGGACGGGCAUUUUUGAGGAAACUGUCAACCGUAUCACCACUGGUACGCAGACCGAGACUGUUUCUGUUCUUCCUAUAGUUGGUCCAGGGGGUAUUGGCAAGACAACUUUCGCCCAACAUCUGUAUAAUGAUGGCAGGACUGAAGAGCACUUCCGAGUCAGGGCCUGGGUAUGUGUAUCCACUGAUUUCGAUGUGCUUAAGCUCACCAGGGAGAUCCUUGCCUGCAUACCCACAAAGGAUGAAGAAGGAGGAAGCAGCAGUGUUGCAAAUGAAACAACCAAUUUAGAUCAUCUUCAGAGAUCCAUUGCGCGCCGUCUCAAGUCCAAGAGGUUUCUAAUUGUCUUGGAUGAUAUAUGGAAGUGUGACAGUGUGGACCAGUGGAAAACCCUGUUAGCUCCGUUCACAAAGGGGGAAACCAAAGGAAGCAUGCUACUUGUCACAACCCGAUUCCCAAAUCUGGCAAAAAUGGUGGGAACGGUUGAUUCACUAGAACUGGCAGGUUUGGAGCCUAAUGACUUCUUCACAUUCUUUGAAGCAUGUAUAUUUAAUGGUGAAGAAGACAAACCUGACCAUUACGAAGAUGAGUUUGAUGGUAUUGCACGAAAAAUUGCAAACAAGCUAAAGGGUUCCCCAUUGGCAGCCAAAACAGUUGGUAGACUAUUGCAUAAGCACCUUUCUCAGGAACACUGGAAUGGAGUUCUUGAAAAGCAUCAGUGGCUAAAGCAGCAAAGAAGUGAUGACAUCAUGCCAUCUUUAAAAAUUAGCUACGAUUGCCUCCCUUUUCAUCUGAAGAAAUGCUUUUCCUAUUGUGGCCUUUUCCCUGAAGAUUAUAGGUUUACUUCUUCAGAAAUCAAUCAUUUCUGGGAUGCAAUGGGCAUCAUAGACUCUAAUCACCAAGCCGGCAGGGAUUGCUUGGAAGAACUAGUGGACAAUGGUUUUCUCAUGAAGGUAUUCGACUGGGCUGAUCGAUCCUCCUAUGUAAUGCACGAUUUAAUGCAUGAGCUAUCUAAGAGUGUUUCUGCACAAGAAUGCCUCAGUAUAAGUGGCUUAGAUUUCAGAGCUAAUGCCAUCCCACAAUCGGUACGACACUUAUCUAUCAACAUAGAAGGCAAAUAUGAUGCAAAUUUUGAGGAAGAAAUGUGUAAACUAAGGGAGAGGAUAGACAUUGCUAAUUUGCGGACUUUGAUGAUUUUUAGAGGAUAUGAAGAAAGGAUCGCCAAGAUUUUGAAAGAUAGCCUCAAGGAAAUAAAUAGUCUGUGUGUCCUAUUUAUAGCAGUGAACAAUCCAGAAUCUUUUCCACAUAGAUUUUCAAAACUUAUCCACCUCCAGUACCUCAAAAUUAGUUCAUCUCACAAUGACAGGGAAAUGAGGUUACCUAGUACACUAUCAAGAUUUUAUCACUUGAAGUUCUUGGACCUAGAUGGUUGGAAUGGUCAUUCUGAUUUGCCUGAAGACUUUAGCCACCUUGAGAAUUUACAUGCUUUCCAUGCUACAAGUGAACUCCACUCCAAUAUUCGCAAUGUCGGAAAGAUGAAGCAUCUGCAGGAGCUAAAAGAAUUCCAUGUCAAGAAUGGGAGCAUGGGAUUUGAGCUGUCAGAACUUGGGGCAUUGACAGAGCUUCAAGGAGGACUGAUUAUACGUGGUCUUGAACACGUGGCAAACAAGGAGGAAGCUACUGCAGCCAAGCUGAAGUUGAAAAAGAAUCUGAAGGAGUUGGAAUUACUCUGGGGCAGAGAUGGACCAACUACAGAUGCUGAUAUCCUUGAUGCUCUUCAACCACACUCGAAUCUUAGAGCACUUACAAUUGCAAAUCAUGGUGGUACCGUUGGUCCUAGUUGGUUGUGUCUUGACAUCUGGUUAGCAAGUUUAGGGACUCUCACUCUAGAAGGCGUAUCUUGGAGCACCCUCCCACCUUUUGCGAAGCUACCAAAUCUCAAGCGACUCAAAUUGAAGACAAUUUCUAGAAUGCAGCAGUUUGGGCUUCGAUGUGGUGGCGCUCCAGGGAAAUGUUCUAUGCGCUUGAACAAAGUCGAGUUUUAUGAGAUGCCGGAACUUGCUGAAUGGGCUGUGGAACCUAAUUGCCAUUCCUUAACAAGUAUUGAAGAAAUCAUAUGCAUCGAUUGUCCCAAUGUCUGUGUGAUGCCCUUCUCGGAGGUUUCUUGCACCAAUUUGCGCAGACUUCAAGUUUCCGGGUGCCCAAAGAUGUCUCUGCCCUCCAUGCCUCACACCUCCACACUGACAGAUUUGGAUGUUAAAAGAGGUGAUUCAGAAACGUUGUUGUCUUAUGAUGGAAAACUAUUGGUUGUUGGAGGGUAUGGCGGUGCUUUGGCCUACCACAAUAUGGAUAAACUAGAAGAUAUGGCUAUUGAAAAUGUAUCGUGCAUAUCAAUGCAGUUCCCAUCAUCCAGCUCACUGCAGAAACUUAGCUUUAGAGACUGCAAGGGCCUGGUUCUUGUGCCUGUGGAGAAUGGAGGAGAAAUUCAGGAGGACAACUCAUUGCUCCAAUCAAUAACAAUAUGGGGAUGUGGCGAAUUGUUCUUUCGGUGGCCCAUGGCCACGGGAGAAUCAGAGACCAUUUACCCUUUCCCUGCUCCCCUGAGGAAACUUGAUGUUUGGGGCGAGCAAAGCAUGAAGUCGAUGGCUCUGCUCUCAAACCUCACGUCUCUCACCAGUCUAAGCCUAAUAAGUUGCGGUAAAUUAACGGUGGAUGGGUUCAAUCCUCUCAUCACAGUCAACCUCAAAGAAUUGCAAGUUACCAGCAGCAGCACCUUAGCAGCAGAUCUGCUCUCAGAGGUGGCAAGGACCAAAUUAUUGCCUGCAGGUUACAUGUCUAGAUUGGAGAAGCUCAUUGUGGAUAACAUCUGUGGAUUGCUUGUUGCUCCUAUUUGCAGCCUCCUCGCCCCGAGCCUCCACACACUUGAAUUCCAGUAUGAUGGGAGGGUGAAAAGCUUGACGGAGGAGCAAGAGAAAGCGCUGCAGCUCCUCACCUCCCUCGAGAAACUACAUUUUCUCUGGUGCUAUGGUCUGCAGUCCCUUCCUCAAGGGUUACAUCGCCUUUCUUCUCUCAAGGAGUUACAUGUCGUUGGGUGUCUGAAAAUCCAGUCGAUGCCCAAGGAGGGCCUCCCGGUUUCGCUGCGAAAACUAGAGAUGAAUUGGCGCAGCGCUGAGAUAGACGAGCAGAUUGAGAAAAUCAAAAGAACCAACCCACAUUUAUCCGUCGAAGAAUAA